RNAcentral lists this ribosomal RNA (460 nucleotides) under uncultured bacterium. RNAcentral's name for it is "partial 16S ribosomal RNA". It matches the Rfam family "Bacterial small subunit ribosomal RNA", at positions 338 to 795 of the family's 1533-position model. The record is from RNAcentral.
CCUACGGGAGGCAGCAGUGAGGAAUAUUGGUCAAUGGACGAGAGUCUGAACCAGCCAAGUAGCGUGAAGGAUGACUGCCCUAUGGGUUGUAAACUUCUUUUAUAUGGGAAUAAACUGUUCCACGUGUGGGCUUUUGUAUGUACCAUAUGAAUAAGGAUCGGCUAACUCCGUGCCAGCAGCCGCGGUAAUACGGAGGAUCCGAGCGUUAUCCGGAUUUAUUGGGUUUAAAGGGAGCGUAGGUGGAUUGUUAAGUCAGUUGUGAAAGUUUGCGGCUCAACCGUAAAAUUGCAGUUGAAACUGGCAGUCUUGAGUACAGUAGAGGUGGGCGGAAUUCGUGGUGUAGCGGUGAAAUGCUUAGAUAUCACGAAGAACUCCGAUUGCGAAGGCAGCUCACUGGACUGCAACUCACACUGAGGCUCGAAAGUGUGGGUAUCAAACAGGAUUAGAUACCCCUGUAGUC